GCAAGUCGAGCGGAAACGAUGGUAGCUUGCUACCAGGCGUCGAGCGGCGGACGGGUGAGUAAUACUUAGGAAUCUACCUAGUAGUGGGGGAUAGCACGGGGAAACUCGUAUUAAUACCGCAUACGACCUACGGGAGAAAGGGGGCAGUUUACUGCUCUCGCUAUUAGAUGAGCCUAAGUCGGAUUAGCUAGAUGGUGGGGUAAAGGCCUACCAUGGCGACGAUCUGUAGCUGGUCUGAGAGGAUGAUCAGCCACACCGGGACUGAGACACGGCCCGGACUCCUACGGGAGGCAGCAGUGGGGAAUAUUGGACAAUGGGGGAAACCCUGAUCCAGCCAUGCCGCGUGUGUGAAGAAGGCCUUUUGGUUGUAAAGCACUUUAAGCAGUGAAGAAGACUCUUCGGUUAAUACCCGGAGACGAUGACAUUAGCUGCAGAAUAAGCACCGGCUAACUCUGUGCCAGCAGCCGCGGUAAUACAGAGGGUGCAAGCGUUAAUCGGAAUUACUGGGCGUAAAGCGAGCGUAGGUGGCUUGAUAAGUCAGAUGUGAAAUCCCCGGGCUUAACCUGGGAACUGCAUCUGAAACUGUUAGGCUAGAGUAGGUGAGAGGGAAGUA
RNAcentral lists this ribosomal RNA (613 nucleotides) under bacterium 4746K6-B16. Its description in RNAcentral is "bacterial SSU rRNA". It matches the Rfam family "Bacterial small subunit ribosomal RNA", at positions 57 to 663 of the family's 1533-position model. The record is from RNAcentral.